Molecule: ribosomal RNA, 469 nt
Filed under: uncultured bacterium
Lineage: Bacteria
Description: bacterial SSU rRNA
Rfam family: Bacterial small subunit ribosomal RNA
Source: RNAcentral
GAUGAACGCUGGCGGCGUGCCUAAUACAUGCAAGUCGAACGAGGUGCUUUUGUAGCAAUACGAGAGUAUCCUAGUGGCGAACGGGUGAGUAACGCGUUGGUGACCUACCCCAAAGUGUGGGAUAACAGUCCGAAAGGAUUGCUAAUACCGCAUGUGGUCAUUGGAUUUAGAAACUGAUGACUAAAGGAGCAAUUCGCUUUGGGAGGGACCUGCGUCCCAUCAGCUAGUUGGUGAGGUAACGGCUCACCAAGGCGACGACGGGUAGGGGACCUGAGAGGGUGGCCCCCACAAUGGAACUGAAACACGGUCCAUACACCUACGGGUGGCAGCAGUAGGGAAUAUUGCACAAUGGGCGAAAGCCUGAUGCAGCAACGCCGCGUGUGUGAUGAAGGCCUUCGGGUCGUAAAGCACUUUUCUGGGAGAUGAGAAAGGACAGUAUCCCAGGAAUAAGUCUCGGCUAACUACGUGC